RNAcentral lists this ribosomal RNA (292 nucleotides) under uncultured bacterium. RNAcentral describes it as "partial 16S ribosomal RNA". It matches the Rfam family "Bacterial small subunit ribosomal RNA", at positions 505 to 796 of the family's 1533-position model. The record is from RNAcentral.
GUGCCAGCCGCCGCGGUAACACGAACCGUGCGAACGUUAUUCGGAAUUACUGGGCUUAAAGAGUUCGUAGGCGGCGUGUUAAGUUGGGUGUGAAAUCCCUUGGCUCAACCAAGGAAUUGCGCUCAAAACUAGCAUGCUUGAGGGAGACAGGGGUGAGCGGAACUGAUGGUGGAGCGGUGAAAUGCGUAGAUAUCAUCAGGAACACCGGUGGCGAAGGCGGCUCACUGGGUCUCUUCUGACGCUGAGGAACGAAAGCUAGGGGAGCGAACGGGAUUAGAUACCCUCGUAGUCC